Long non-coding RNA from Fundulus heteroclitus (mummichog), 761 nucleotides. RefSeq lists it as uncharacterized. The record is from RefSeq and is a predicted model, not a curated record. The transcript has 4 exons. Lineage: Eukaryota; Metazoa; Chordata; Actinopteri; Cyprinodontiformes; Fundulidae.
AUGGCAAGCUGUUUAAAAAAUAAAGACAAAGGCAGCUGUUAAAUCCUGCCACGGUCAUUUUGCUGGCCUUAUUUCCUGGGUUUUAUUCUCUUCAUAUCAGACUUAAUGUUAAUGUGUGUGUGACAGACGUGCAUAGCUGACAUUUAUGAAGAAAUACAGAACAAAUCGUCCCGUAAUGCCUCAAAACGUCAAUCAAAUAAAAGAGGAUUCUGUAUUUAUCUGUGUAAUGAUUGAAUGAAUUAUGUUUAGGUCCACUAGAUGGCGAUCAUGAGUUUAUGUGAAUAGAUAAAUGUAAAGAAUAGGACAACAGAAGCAGAGAGUCUUUGUGACACACCUGUGAGGAGAUCCAUGAAAGGAGACUUUAAUAAAAGAAUCUGAGCAACACAAGACGUCUGAACUUAGAGUUUUACGCACCUUUCUUGGUACCGCUCUGCCGAUGGCCACCGCCGGCGUGGAGCAGAACAGACCCACGUUGACGCCCGGCGUGGCAAAGGUGGACUUCUCCGUGGCAACGGCGAUGUCACAGCUGGCGACCAGCUGGCAGCCGGCGGCGGUGGCAACGCCGUCUACCAUGGCGAUCACUGGGACCGGGACGUCCUGUAUCAGAGUCAUCACCUGCAGCACCAGAGCCAGUCAGAAGCGGACCCAGACUGACCUCUGAGCAGGUCUGGAACACCUUCUGGUGGUACUCUCGGCCCCGGGCGGACGUCAGCUCCUUCAGGUCGUGUCCUGACGAGAACACCGGACCUUUGGCUGAAACA